AGGUGGUUAGCUCAGUGGUAGAGCCUCUGCCUUACAAGCAAAUAGUCACUGGUUCAAAUCCAGUACCACCUA
RNAcentral lists this transfer RNA (72 nucleotides) under Harveyella mirabilis. RNAcentral describes it as "tRNA-Val". It matches the Rfam family "tRNA". Rfam says of the family: Transfer RNA (tRNA) molecules are approximately 80 nucleotides in length. Their secondary structure includes four short double-helical elements and three loops (D, anti-codon, and T loops). The record is from RNAcentral. Lineage: Eukaryota; Rhodophyta; Florideophyceae; Gigartinales; Choreocolacaceae.